GCAAACUUGGUCAUUUAGAGGAAGUAAAAGUCGUAACAAGGUCUCCGUUGGUGAACCAGCGGAGGGAUCAUUACCGAGUUUACAACUCCCAAACCCCUGUGAACAUACCACUCGUUGCCUCGGCGGAUCACCGCGCCCCGUGAAACGGGCCGGCCCGCCAGAGGACCUAAACUCAAUGUCUUAUUGUAUCUUCUGAGUAAAAACACAAAUAAAUCAAAACUUUCAACAACGGAUCUCUUGGUUCUGGCAUCGAUGAAGAACGCAGC
RNAcentral lists this unclassified non-coding RNA (266 nucleotides) under uncultured fungus. RNAcentral's name for it is "partial contains small subunit ribosomal RNA, internal transcribed spacer 1, and 5.8S ribosomal RNA". The stretch from base 1 to 73 matches the Rfam family "Eukaryotic small subunit ribosomal RNA", at positions 1759 to 1831 of the family's 1831-position model. The record is from RNAcentral. Lineage: Eukaryota; Fungi.